This 345-nucleotide ribosomal RNA is filed under the name Triticum aestivum (bread wheat). Its description in RNAcentral is "partial small subunit ribosomal RNA". Lineage: Eukaryota; Viridiplantae; Streptophyta; Magnoliopsida; Poales; Poaceae. The record is from RNAcentral.
AUGAUAAAAGGGAAACUAAAGACACAUGUACAAAAACCUCCUACAGGAAUACACAAGGAAAUAAUACAAUGGGUCAAAAUAAAUAAUGAGGAUCAUCUCCAUACCAUUUUGCAUUUCUCGACAAAUAUAAUCUGUUUGGCUAUUCUAAGUGGUUCUUUUUUUCUGGGUAAAGAGGAACUUGUCAUUUUGAAUUCUUGGGUUCAGGAAUUCUUCUAUAAUUUAAAUGACUCAAUAAUAGCUUUUUUUAUUCUUUUAGUUACUGAUUUUUUUUGUUGGAUUUCACUCCACCCAUGGUUGGGAACUAGUAAUUCGUUGGGUCUACAACGAUUUUGGAUGGGCUCCUAA